UAACGCGUGGGAAUCUGCCCUGGAGUGGGGGAUAACCCGGCGAAAGCCGGGCUAAUACCGCAUACGUCCUGAGGGAGAAAGAUUUAUCGCUCUAGGAGGGGCCCGCGUCGGAUUAGCUAGUUGGUGAGGUAACGGCCCACCAAGGGUAUGAUCCGUAGCUGGUCUGAGAGGAUGAUCAGCCACACUGGGACUGAGACACGGCCCAGACUCCUACGGGAGGCAGCAGUGGGGAAUAUUGGACAAUGGGCGCAAGCCUGAUCCAGCAAUGCCGCGUGAGUGGUGAAGGGCUUAGGGUUGU
Molecule: ribosomal RNA, 298 nt
Filed under: uncultured Sphingomonadaceae bacterium
Lineage: Bacteria; Pseudomonadati; Pseudomonadota; Alphaproteobacteria; Sphingomonadales; Sphingomonadaceae
Description: partial 16S ribosomal RNA
Rfam family: Bacterial small subunit ribosomal RNA
Source: RNAcentral